AAAGCCGGAUUAAUACCGCAUACGAUCUACGGAUGAAAGCGGGGGAUCGCAAGACCUCGCGCUAUAGGGGCGGCCGAUGGCGGAUUAGCUAGUUGGUGGGGUAAAGGCCCACCAAGGCGACGAUCCGUAGCUGGUCUGAGAGGACGACCAGCCACACUGGGACUGAGACACGGCCCAGACUCCUACGGGAGGCAGCAGUGGGGAAUUUUGGACAAUGGGCGCAAGCCUGAUCCAGCAAUGCCGCGUGUGUGAAGAAGGCCUUCGGGUUGUAAAGCACUUUUGUCCGGAAAGAAAUCCUCUGGGUUAAUACCCCGGGGGGAUGACGGUACCGGAAGAAUAAGCACCGGCUAACUACGUGCCAGCAGCCGCGGUAAUACGUAGGGUGCGAGCGUUAAUUCAAAUUACUGGGCGUAAAGCGUGCGCAGGCGGUGAUGU
Molecule: ribosomal RNA, 435 nt
Filed under: Burkholderia sp. Ms291PR
Lineage: Bacteria; Pseudomonadati; Pseudomonadota; Betaproteobacteria; Burkholderiales; Burkholderiaceae
Description: bacterial SSU rRNA
Rfam family: Bacterial small subunit ribosomal RNA
Source: RNAcentral